AGAGGUCACAAGUUUGAGGCUAUAACAAAAGUGUUCACAGUGCGGCCAUGUCAGAUUCGAAUGAAUCUGCAAAGUCUGCU
Molecule: ribozyme, 80 nt
Filed under: Crocodylus porosus (Australian saltwater crocodile)
Lineage: Eukaryota; Metazoa; Chordata; Crocodylia; Crocodylidae
Description: Mammalian CPEB3 ribozyme (ENSCPRG00005009482.1)
Rfam family: Mammalian CPEB3 ribozyme
About the family: The mammalian CPEB3 ribozyme is a self cleaving RNA located in the second intron of the CPEB3 gene which belongs to a family of genes regulating messenger RNA polyadenylation.
Source: Rfam by way of RNAcentral